This is a non-coding RNA of Penaeus vannamei (Pacific white shrimp), 373 nucleotides long. The record is from RefSeq and is a predicted model, not a curated record. Lineage: Eukaryota; Metazoa; Arthropoda; Malacostraca; Decapoda; Penaeidae.
UGUUGUUGACAGCCAGGCGCGUGCUUCACUUUGAACACUCUUCAGACUUUUAUCCCAUAGAAUUGUAAUGAACAACGCACACCAUAAUGUUCUUAAGGAAGUGCAGUCCGGUACAGCAUUUCUGGAGGAAACGGUGACGGCCUUUUUUCCAUCGACCCCGAGAACGGACACCUGACCUUAGCGGCCACUCUGGAUUAUGAGAUCCGCCAGAAGCACGCCCUCGAGGUCUCAGCGGAGGCGGGGGCGGAGACGGCGCGAGUGGGCGUGACCUGGGAGGUGGAGGACGCAACGACAACCCGCCCACCUUCCCGUCACCGCCGCCCAGGGUCACGGUCAUCGAGGAGGACGAUUCCGUGACCUUCCCGCUGCGAUU